UACGGAGGGUGCAAGCGUUAUCCGGAUUCACUGGGCUUAAAGGGCGCGUAGGCGGACAGGUAAGUCCGUGGUGAAAUCCUGCAGCUUAACUGCAGAACUGCCAUGGAUACUAUCUAUCUUGAAUGUCGUGGAGGUUAGCGGAAUAUGUCAUGUAGCGGUGAAAUGCUUAGAUAUGACAUAGAACACCCAUUGCGAAGGCAGCUAACUACGCGAUAAUUGACGCUGAUGCACGAAAGCGUGGGGAGCGAACAGG
Molecule: ribosomal RNA, 253 nt
Filed under: uncultured bacterium
Lineage: Bacteria
Description: partial 16S ribosomal RNA
Rfam family: Bacterial small subunit ribosomal RNA
Source: RNAcentral